This 800-nucleotide ribosomal RNA is filed under the name uncultured Bacillota bacterium. Its description in RNAcentral is "bacterial SSU rRNA". It matches the Rfam family "Bacterial small subunit ribosomal RNA", at positions 73 to 888 of the family's 1533-position model. The record is from RNAcentral. Lineage: Bacteria; Bacillati; Bacillota.
GCUCCCUUCGGGGAGUGCAUAAAGUGGCGCACGGGUGAGUAACACGUAAGUAAUCUACCCUCGGGUGGGGAAUAACAUCGGGAAACCGAUGCUAAUACCGCAUAAUGCAGCGGCACCGCAAGGUGACAGUUGUUAAAGAUUUAUUGCCUGGGGAGGAGCUUGCGGCAGAUUAGCUUGUUGGUAAGGUAACGGCUUACCAAGGCUACGAUCUGUAUCCGGUCUAAGAGGACGGUCGGACACACUGACACUGAAUAACGGGUCAGACUCCUACGGGAGGCAGCAGUCGGGAAUUUUGGGCAAUGGGGGAAACCCUGACCCAGCAACGCCGCGUGAAGGAUGAAGUAUUUCGGUAUGUAAACUUCGAAAGAAUAGGAAGAAUUAAUGACGGUACUAUUUAUAAGGUCCGGCUAACUACGUGCCAGCAGCCGCGGUAAUACGUAGGGACCAAGCGUUGUUCGGAUUUACUGGGCGUAAAGGGCGCGUAGGCGGCGCGGUAAGUCACUUGUGAAAUCUCUGAGCUUAACUCAGAACGGCCAAGUGAUAUUGCAGUGCUAGAGUGUGGAAGGGGCAAUCGGAAUUCUUGGUGUAGCGGUGAAAUGCGUAGAUAUCAAGAGGAACACCUGAGGUGAAGACGGGUUGCUGGGCCAACACUGACGCUGAGGCGCGAAAGCCAGGGGAGCAAACGGGAUUAGAUACCCCGGUAGUCCUGGCCCUAAACGAUGAAUACUUGGUGUCUGGAGUUUUAAUGCUCCGGGUGCCGUCGCUAACGUUUUUAGUAUUCCGCCUGGGGAGUACGCUCG